This 448-nucleotide ribosomal RNA is filed under the name uncultured bacterium. RNAcentral's name for it is "partial 16S ribosomal RNA". It matches the Rfam family "Bacterial small subunit ribosomal RNA", at positions 330 to 794 of the family's 1533-position model. The record is from RNAcentral.
UCCAGACUCCUACGGGAGGCAGCAGUGGGGGAUAUUGCACAAUGGGGGGAACCCUGAUGCAGCGACGCCGCGUGGGUGAAGGAGCGUUUCGGCGCGUAAAGCCCUCUCGGCAGGGAAGAAGGAGGACGGUACCUGACUAAGAAGCCCCGGCUAACUACGUGCCAGCAGCCGCGGUAAUACGUAGGGGGCAAGCGUUAUCCGGAUUUACUGGGUGUAAAGGGGGCGCAGACGGCAGCGCAAGCCAGGAGUGAAAGCCCGGGGCCCAACCCCGGGACUGCUCUUGGAACUGCGCGGCUGGAGUGCAGGAGGGGCAGGCGGAAUUCCUGGUGUAGCGGUGAAAUGCGUAGAUAUCAGGAGGAACACCGGUGGCGAAGGCGGCCUGCUGGACUGCGACUGACGUUGAGGCCCGAAAGCGUGGGGAGCAAACAGGAUUAGAUACCCCCGUAUC